GCGUUUAUGAGAUGUGGGAUGUCCAGUGAUUUUGCCAUUCUGAGUUCUUAAUUCCAGUUAAUAGUCUUUAAUAGUUUCUUCAGUCUUUCCCACUGUUUUCUUUUUUGUGUCUUUUCCCUGUAUCAAGUUUAUUUUUUGCAUCUGAGUUUCCUGGUUUAGUUUCUGUUACCUUCUUCCUGUUUUACUUUGAUAGUGAGUUGCCGUCUGUGUCUUGUAUCCAGUUCUACUUCCUCCCCUGUGGUUUUAUUGUUUGUGCACCUGUAUCUCAUUUCCUCCGAGCUGUGUCUCAUUCUGUUGAUUAGCCCUCAGUGUGGGAGUAUAAAUGGUGUUGUCUUUCAUUUAUCUCUUGUUGCAGCGUCUGUUUGCGUUCUUUCUCUGUUUCCUUGUGUUUCACUUCUGUUGAAUUGCUUUGGCUUUAUGGACUGUACUUUUAGAGUUGGACCACAUAUCUGCUUACCAGUGCUGAGUAAUGAACUAAUAAACACACGCAGAGAGUCAAGAGGUGCAGUUCAGUGACUCAGAGCAGUUGAUGAGGCCUAGCAGACAGCGAUGGGUUGCAACUGUCUGCAUGUGGACACCUGCUAAAAGGGUAUUGCAGCAGAUGACCAGCAGUGCUCGGCCUGGUAAGAUACAGCGUCUCAUUGCCCCACAUACAAACUCCCACCACCUCCCCCUUUACUGCAUAUUGUGUUUGCAGAAGGCUUCACAUAAUUUAAAGUGACAAGCCCCCGUCUCGACAUUCCCUCCGUCUCUCCUGAUCCCCCCCCACCCCCACUCCCUCUGUUUUAUAACCUUCUUUUCUUUCCUGCCAUGGAUACACGCCGGUAUGCUGCUGAAGAAUUACAUCUGUGACCACCUCGGACGCUUUUCUUUCAGACUGUACAGCUACAAAUAUUUCUGUUGCCAGGCUGAAUCCACAGACCAGCAACAUUUCAGGUUCACAGGCGCGAAUGCAGACGAGUCAUGGUGAUGCACACCCCGACCGUUUCCAGCUCUGUGGAACUUUGAACACCAUGGGAACUUUCUGAGUGGUGUUUACUCAGCAUGGCGCUAUCAUUAUGCAGCUUUAGAUGGAUUUCUAAUAAAAUAAGCAUAAAUUAUACAUGCAAGGGCAUCUGUAGCUUCAAGCUGUAUGACAGUUUCUUAACUUUGAGUUUAUAAAGUCAAAAGUCUUGCUUUAGUGCAUCUGUGCUGCUCGGCAGGUCAAUAAGAGGACCCGACGGGACAGAUCAAUAAUGCAUAGAGGCUCCGGCCGUCGAACACUACACUACAGGGCCUGUAAUUUACAGUUUGUUUGUAGUCUACCGCUGGUACAUUAUGUGCCUGUGUGUCUCGAUGCAUCACUCCCACUCCCAUUAGCUGCAGAAUAAAGUCAGAGGAUGUGGCUGAAAACUCAACAGAUAACCUCUGAUCGGAUUGAAACUCUGUAUUUGAUUCAAAUACCACGGGGUCAGCGUCCUUGCUGUGUUUUAUCAGAUCCCCCUGCAGUGCUGCUGCUGUCUCCCUCUCUCUCUCUGUAGAGGGUUUAAACACUUUAGACUUUCAUCAUGUGCAGCACAUAGCUGCUGUCCCUUAAAGGUGGAUACAAGCACCAAAAUCUGAGAGUUUAUCCUGAUGACAUUCAUUAGAAAAAACCCCAUCAGCAGCUUGAAUUUUCAAAAUAACCAUCAAGCAGCUAUUUUACUGCAGAAUUUUGACAUUUCUGAAGUUUCACUGAUGAUCUCUCUAUUUCUGACCAUGACUAAGUCAAAUUUAAAACUUUAAAUAAUCC
Molecule: long non-coding RNA, 1771 nt
Organism: Oreochromis niloticus (Nile tilapia)
Lineage: Eukaryota; Metazoa; Chordata; Actinopteri; Cichliformes; Cichlidae
Source: Ensembl